RNAcentral lists this ribosomal RNA (678 nucleotides) under Mucor genevensis. RNAcentral's name for it is "eukaryotic LSU rRNA". It matches the Rfam family "Eukaryotic large subunit ribosomal RNA", at positions 36 to 620 of the family's 3401-position model. Lineage: Eukaryota; Fungi; Mucoromycota; Mucoromycetes; Mucorales; Mucoraceae. The record is from RNAcentral.
UAGCAUAUCAAUAAGCGGAGGAAAAGAAAAUAACAAUGAUUUCCCUAGUAACGGCGAGUGAAGAGGAAAGAGCUCAAAGUUGGAACCUGUUUGGCUUAGCUAAACCCGGGAUUGUAAACCUGUAGAAGCGUUUUCCAGGCGCACCAAGCAAAUAAGUCCUUUGGAACAGGGCAUCAUAGAGGGUGAGAAUCCCGUCUUUGGCUUGAGUUGUCGUCUAUUGUGAUACGUUUUCAAAGAGUCAGGUUGUUUGGGAAUGCAGCCUAAAUUGGGUGGUAAAUCUCACCUAAAGCUAAAUAUUUGCGAGAGACCGAUAGCGAACAAGUACCGUGAGGGAAAGAUGAAAAGAACUUUGAAAAGAGAGUUAAACAGUAUGUGAAAUUGUUAAAAGGGAACCGUUUGGUGCCAGACUGGCUUGAUUGUAAUCAACCUGGGCUUCGGCUCGGGUGCACUUGCAGUCUAUGCCUGCCAACAACAGUUUGGUUUGGAGGAAAAAAUUAUAAGGAAUGUGGCCCCUCGGGGUGUUAUAGCUUUAUUUCAUACUCUGGACUGGACUGAGGAUCGCAGUGAAUGCCUUUAGGCAAGAUUGCUGGGUGCUUUCGCUAAUAAAUGCUAGAAUUUCUGCUUUGGGUGGUGCUAGUGUUUAAAGGAGGAACUCGCCUGGUAUAUUUUUAUCGCUUA